This 1696-nucleotide ribosomal RNA is filed under the name Acinetobacter baumannii. Its description in RNAcentral is "partial 23S ribosomal RNA". It matches the Rfam family "Bacterial large subunit ribosomal RNA", at positions 1137 to 2818 of the family's 2925-position model. Lineage: Bacteria; Pseudomonadati; Pseudomonadota; Gammaproteobacteria; Moraxellales; Moraxellaceae. The record is from RNAcentral.
AUAGCUCACUAGUCGAGUCGGCCUGCGCGGAAGAUGUAACGGGGCUAAAACUAUGUGCCGAAGCUGCGGAUGUAUACUUUGUAUACGUGGUAGGGGAGCGUUCUGUAAGCCGAUGAAGGUGUGUUGAGAAGCAUGCUGGAGGUAUCAGAAGUGCGAAUGCUGACGUGAGUAACGACAAAACGGGUGAAAAACCCGUUCGCCGAAAGACCAAGGGUUCCAGUCCAACGUUAAUCGGGGCUGGGUGAGUCGACCCCUAAGGCGAGGCCGAAAGGCGUAGUCGAUGGGAAAAUGGUUAAUAUUCCAUUACUUCUGUGUAAUGCGAUGAGAGGACGGAGAAGGCUAAAUCAGCCUGGCGUUGGUUGUCCAGGUGAAAGGAUGUAGGCAUGUAUCUUAGGCAAAUCCGGGGUACUCUAUGCUGAGAUCUGAUAGCAAGCUGUACUUGUACAGCGAAGUGGUUGAUGCCAUGCUUCCAGGAAAAGUCUCUAAGCUUCAGUUACACAGGAAUCGUACCCGAAACCGACACAGGUGGUCAGGUCGAGUAGACCAAGGCGCUUGAGAGAACUCUGCUGAAGGAACUAGGCAAAAUGGUACCGUAACUUCGGGAGAAGGUACGCUGUUGUUGGUGAUGGAACUCGCUUCCUGAGCUGACGACAGCCGCAGAAACCAGGCCGCUGCAACUGUUUAUUAAAAACAUAGCACUCUGCAAACACGAAAGUGGACGUAUAGGGUGUGAUGCCUGCCCGGUGCUGGAAGGUUAAUUGAUGGGGUUAGCGUAAGCGAAGCUCUUGAUCGAAGCCCCAGUAAACGGCGGCCGUAACUAUAACGGUCCUAAGGUAGCGAAAUUCCUUGUCGGGUAAGUUCCGACCUGCACGAAUGGCAUAAUGAUGGCGGCGCUGUCUCCAGCAGAGGCUCAGUGAAAUCGAAAUCGCUGUGAAGAUGCAGUGUACCCGCGGCUAGACGGAAAGACCCCGUGAACCUUUACUGCAGCUUGACACUGAACUUUGACCUUACUUGUGUAGGAUAGGUGGGAGGCUUUGAAGCUGGAACGCUAGUUCCAGUGGAGCCGUCCUUGAAAUACCACCCUGGUAAUGUUGAGGUUCUAACUCUGUCCCGUGAUCCGGGACGAGGACCGUGUCUGGUGGGUAGUUUGACUGGGGCGGUCUCCUCCUAAAGAGUAACGGAGGAGUACGAAGGUGCGCUCAGCGUGGUCGGAAAUCACGCGUAGAGUAUAAAGGCAAAAGCGCGCUUAACUGCGAGACCCACAAGUCGAGCAGGUACGAAAGUAGGUCUUAGUGAUCCGGUGGUUCUGUAUGGAAGGGCCAUCGCUCAACGGAUAAAAGGUACUCUGGGGAUAACAGGCUGAUACCGCCCAAGAGUUCAUAUCGACGGCGGUGUUUGGCACCUCGAUGUCGGCUCAUCUCAUCCUGGGGCUGAAGCAGGUCCCAAGGGUAUGGCUGUUCGCCAUUUAAAGAGGUACGCGAGCUGGGUUUAGAACGUCGUGAGACAGUUCGGUCCCUAUCUACCGUGGGCGCUGGAAAUUUGAGAGGAUCUGCUCCUAGUACGAGAGGACCAGAGUGGACGAACCUCUGGUGUACCGGUUGUGACGCCAGUCGCAUCGCCGGGUAGCUAUGUUCGGAAGGGAUAACCGCUGAAAGCAUCUAAGCGGGAAGCCUACCUCAAGAUAAGAUUUCCCUAG